Molecule: non-coding RNA, 30 nt
Filed under: Homo sapiens (human)
Lineage: Eukaryota; Metazoa; Chordata; Mammalia; Primates; Hominidae
Source: RNAcentral
GUCACGGUCCUUCAGUGUCUUAGUCCAUGG